RNAcentral lists this ribosomal RNA (2930 nucleotides) under Proteus mirabilis. RNAcentral's name for it is "23S ribosomal RNA". It matches the Rfam family "Bacterial large subunit ribosomal RNA". The record is from RNAcentral. Lineage: Bacteria; Pseudomonadati; Pseudomonadota; Gammaproteobacteria; Enterobacterales; Morganellaceae.
GGGUUGUGAGGUUAAGCGAAUAAGCGUACACGGUGGAUGCCUAGGCAAUCAGAGGCGAUGAAGGACGUGCUAAUCUGCGAAAAGCGUCGGUAAGGUGAUAUGAACCGUUAUACCCGACGAUAUCCGAAUGGGGAAACCCAGUAUCCAAUGGAUACUAUCAUUAACUGAAUCCAUAGGUUAAUGAGGCGAACCGGGAGAACUGAAACAUCUCAGUACCCCGAGGAAAAGAAAUCAACCGAGAUUCCCCUAGUAGCGGCGAGCGAACGGGGAGCAGCCCAGAGUCUUAAUCAAUAGCAGUGUCAGGAGAACGGUCUGGAAAGUCCGGCAGUAAAGGGUGAUAGCCCCGUAUCUGAAGAUGCUGUUAUUGUGAACUCGACGAGUAGGGCGGGACACGUGUUAUCCUGUCUGAAUAUGGGGGGACCAUCCUCCAAGGCUAAAUACUCCUGAUUGACCGAUAGUGAACCAGUACCGUGAGGGAAAGGCGAAAAGAACCCCGGCGAGGGGAGUGAAAAAGAACCUGAAACCGUGUACGUACAAGCAGUAGGAGCCUCUUUAUGGGGUGACUGCGUACCUUUUGUAUAAUGGGUCAGCGACUUAUAUUCUGUAGCAAGGUUAACCGUAUAGGGGAGCCGUAGGGAAACCGAGUCUUAACUGGGCGAAUGAGUUGCAGGGUAUAGACCCGAAACCCGGUGAUCUAUCCAUGGGCAGGUUGAAGGUUGGGUAACACUAACUGGAGGACCGAACCGACUAAUGUUGAAAAAUUAGCGGAUGACUUGUGGAUGGGGGUGAAAGGCCAAUCAAACCGGGAGAUAGCUGGUUCUCCCCGAAAGCUAUUUAGGUAGCGCCUCGUGAACUCAUCUUCGGGGGUAGAGCACUGUUUCGACUAGGGGGUCAUCCCGACUUACCAACUCGAUGCAAACUGCGAAUACCGAAGAAUGUUAUCACGGGAGACACACGGCGGGUGCUAACGUCCGUCGUGAAGAGGGAAACAACCCAGACCGCCAGCUAAGGUCCCAAAGUCAUGGUUAAGUGGGAAACGAAGUGGGAAGGCUCAGACAGCCAGGAUGUUGGCUUAGAAGCAGCCAUCAUUUAAAGAAAGCGUAAUAGCUCACUGGUCGAGUCGGCCCGCGCGGAAGAUGUAACGGGGCUAAACCAUGCACCGAAGCUGCGGCAGCGACACAAAGUGUUGUUGGGUAGGGGAGCGUUCUGUAAGCCUGCGAAGGUGUACUGUGAGGUAUGCUGGAGGUAUCAGAAGUGCGAAUGCUGACAUAAGUAACGAUAAUGCGGGUGAAAAACCCGCACGCCGGAAGACCAAGGGUUCCUGUCCAACGUUAAUCGGGGCAGGGUGAGUCGACCCCUAAGGCGAGGCUGAAAAGCGUAGUCGAUGGGAAACGGGUUAAUAUUCCCGUACUGGUGGUAACUGCGAUGGGGGAACGGAGAAGGCUAGGUUGUCCGGGCGACGGUCGUCCCGGUUCAAGCAGGUAGGCAGAGUGAUUAGGCAAAUCCGGUCACUUAAUGCUGAGAUGUGAUGACGAACCACCAAGGUGGUGAAGCAAUUGAUGCCCCGCUUCCAGGAAAAGCCUCUAAGCUUCAGGUUACCAACAAUCGUACCCCAAACCGACACAGGUGGUCAGGUAGAGAAUACUCAGGCGCUUGAGAGAACUCGGGUGAAGGAACUAGGCAAAAUGGUGCCGUAACUUCGGGAGAAGGCACGCUGGCGGUAGGUAAAGUCCCUCGCGGACGGCGCUGAAGCCAGUCGAAGAUACCAGCUGGCUGCAACUGUUUAUUAAAAACACAGCACUGUGCAAACACGAAAGUGGACGUAUACGGUGUGACGCCUGCCCGGUGCUGGAAGGUUAAUUGAUGGGGUCAGCGUAAGCGAAGCUCCUGAUCGAAGCCCCAGUAAACGGCGGCCGUAACUAUAACGGUCCUAAGGUAGCGAAAUUCCUUGUCGGGUAAGUUCCGACCUGCACGAAUGGCGUAAUGAUGGCCAGGCUGUCUCCACCCGAGACUCAGUGAAAUUGAACUCGCUGUGAAGAUGCAGUGUACCCGCGGCAAGACGGAAAGACCCCGUGAACCUUUACUAUAGCUUGACACUGAACAUUGAGCCUUGAUGUGUAGGAUAGGUGGGAGGCUUUGAAGUGUGGACGCCAGUCUGCAUGGAGCCAACCUUGAAAUACCACCCUUUAACGUUUGAUGUUCUAACCUAGGCCCAUAAACUGGGUCGGGGACCGUGUCUGGUGGGUAGUUUGACUGGGGCGGUCUCCUCCUAAAGAGUAACGGAGGAGCACGAAGGUUGGCUAAGCAUGGUCGGACAUCAUGCGGUUAGUGCAAAGGCAUAAGCCAGCUUGACUGCGAGAGUGACGGCUCGAGCAGGUACGAAAGUAGGUCUUAGUGAUCCGGUGGUUCUGAAUGGAAGGGCCAUCGCUCAACGGAUAAAAGGUACUCCGGGGAUAACAGGCUGAUACCGCCCAAGAGUUCAUAUCGACGGCGGUGUUUGGCACCUCGAUGUCGGCUCAUCACAUCCUGGGGCUGAAGUAGGUCCCAAGGGUAUGGCUGUUCGCCAUUUAAAGUGGUACGCGAGCUGGGUUUAGAACGUCGUGAGACAGUUCGGUCCCUAUCUGCCGUGGGCGUUGGAAGAUUGAGAGGGGUUGCUCCUAGUACGAGAGGACCGGAGUGAACGCACCACUGGUGUUCGGGUUGUCAUGCCAAUGGCAUUGCCCGGUAGCUAAGUGCGGAAGAGAUAACCGCUGAAAGCAUCUAAGCGGGAAACUUGCCUCGAGAUGAGUCUUCCCUGUCGCUUUAAGCGACCUAAAGGAACGUUUAAGACUAAGACGUUGAUAGGCUGGGUGUGUAAGCGUAGCGAUACGUUGAGCUAACCAGUACUAAUGAACCGUGAGGCUUAACCUGACAACACCGAAAGUGUUUUG